GUGACUUCGCUGUUUGUUAUUAUCCUUCUGGGAUGAAUACCUAUUUCUCGGUUGUUAAAUUAUCGCAAUUUUACAUAAAAAAAUACUCUAAAGGAUUGAUUGUAAACAUCGUUUGACAUGUUUCUACAAACGUCCAAGUGACAGCCAGGAAUAAGCUGACCAAGACAGAGCAUCAGAAUCAGAGGCUGCCAUCCCUGCUUGAUGAGCCUGUGGCUUUUAAUAUGCCCGCUGGAUACAGUGAAGAUCUUCAAGCAGUGGAGAUGAGGAUAAUAAUGAAACUGGAGAUGAUCCGUACAGAGUUCAAGACUGCUCUGAACCAAGUUAUGGAGGCCAUAGAGGCCCGGCAGCCAAUGGAGUCAGAGUCCUUGGGGCAACUUGAAAUGCUGCAAAACCCUAC
This 397-nucleotide long non-coding RNA is filed under the name Salmo salar (Atlantic salmon). Its description in RNAcentral is "lncRNA (ENSSSAG00000120447.1)". Lineage: Eukaryota; Metazoa; Chordata; Actinopteri; Salmoniformes; Salmonidae. The record is from RNAcentral.